AGAGUUUGAUCAUGGCUCAGGAUGAACGCUAGCUGGAGGCUUAAUACAUGCAAGUCGAGCGGGAUUGGUAGCAAUACCAUGAGAGCGGCGCACGGGUGAGUAACGCGUACACGACCUACCUCUGACAGGGGGAUAGCCCUGGGAAACUGGGAUUAAUACCGCAUAUUAUUCUGAUUAAUAAAGGAUUGGAAUGAAAGUUCAGGCGGUCAGAGAUGGGUGUGCGUCUGAUUAGCUAGUUGGUAGGGUAACGGCCUACCAAGGCGAUGAUCAGUAGGGGGCGUGAGAGCGUGGUCCCCCACACGGGUACUGAGACACGGACCCGACUCCUACGGGAGGCAGCAGUAAGGAAUAUUGGACAAUGGCCGCAAGGCUGAUCCAGCCAUCCAGCGUGCAGGAAGAAGGCCCUAUGGGUUGUAAACUGCUUUUAUCAGGGAAUAAACCUCUGGAUUCACUCCGGAGCUGAAGGUACCUGAAGAAUAAGCACCGGCUAACUCCGUGCCAGCAGCCGCGGUAAUACGGAGGGUGCGAGCGUUAUCCGGAAUUACUGGGUUUAAAGGGUGCGUAGGCGGCUUUGUAAGUCAGGAGUGAAAGUUUGCGGCUCAACCGUAAAAUUGCUUCUGAUACUGCAUGGCUAGAAUUAGGAUGAGGUCAGCGGAAUGUGGCAUGUAGCGGUGAAAUGCAUAGAUAUGCCAUAGAACACCAAUUGCGAAGGCAGCUGGCUAGACCUAUAUUGACGCUGAGGCACGAAAGCGUGGGGAGCGAACAGGAUUAGAUACCCUGGUAGUCCACGCCCUAAACGA
Molecule: ribosomal RNA, 800 nt
Filed under: uncultured bacterium
Lineage: Bacteria
Description: bacterial SSU rRNA
Rfam family: Bacterial small subunit ribosomal RNA
Source: RNAcentral